RNAcentral lists this ribosomal RNA (448 nucleotides) under uncultured bacterium. RNAcentral describes it as "partial 16S ribosomal RNA". It matches the Rfam family "Bacterial small subunit ribosomal RNA", at positions 328 to 792 of the family's 1533-position model. The record is from RNAcentral.
UUACCAGACUCCUACGGGAGGCAGCAGUGGGGGAUAUUGCACAAUGGGGGAAACCCUGAUGCAGCGACGCCGCGUGUGGGAAGACGGUCCUCUGGAUUGUAAACCACUGUCCCCAGGGACGAAAAUGACGGUACCUGAGGAGGAAGCCACGGCUAACUACGUGCCAGCAGCCGCGGUAAUACGUAGGUGGCGAGCGUUGUCCGGAUUUACUGGGCGUAAAGGGAGCGUAGGCGGACUUUUAAGUGAGAUGUGAAAUACUCGGGCUCAACUUGAGUGCUGCAUUUCAAACUGGAAGUCUAGAGUGCAGGAGAGGAGAAUGGAAUUCCUAGUGUAGCGGUGAAAUGCGUAGAGAUUAGGAAGAACACCAGUGGCGAAGGCGAUUCUCUGGACUGUAACUGACGCUGAGGCUCGAAAGCGUGGGGAGCAAACAGGAUUAGAUACCCGAGUA